UCAGGCCUAACACAUGCAAGUCGAGCGGAAACGAGCUAUCUGAACCUUCGGGGAACGAUAACGGCGUCGAGCGGCGGACGGGUGAGUAAUGCCUAGGAAAUUGCCCUGAUGUGGGGGACAACCAUUGGAAACGAUGGCUAAUACCGCAUGAUGCCUACGGGCCAAAGAGGGGGACCUUCGGGCCUCUCGCGUCAGGAUAUGCCUAGGUGGGAUUAGCUAGUUGGUGAGGUAAGGGCUCACCAAGGCGACGAUCCCUAGCUGGUCUGAGAGGAUGAUCAGCCACACUGGAACUGAGACACGGUCCAGACUCCUACGGGAGGCAGCAGUGGGGAAUAUUGCACAAUGGGCGCAAGCCUGAUGCAGCCAUGCCGCGUGUGUGAAGAGGGCCUUCGGGUUGUAAAGCACUUUCAGUCGUGAGGAAGGUAGUGUAGUUAAUAGCUGCAUUAUUUGACGUUAGCGACAGAAGAAGCACCGGCUAACUCCGUGCCAGCAGCCGCGGUAAUACGGAGGGUGCGAGCGUUAAUCGGAAUUACUGGGCGUAAAGCGCAUGCAGGUGGUUUGUUAAGUCAGAUGUGAAAGCCCGGGGCUCAACCUCGGAAUAGCAUUUGAAACUGGCAGACUAGAGUACUGUAGAGGGGGGUAGAAUUUCA
Molecule: ribosomal RNA, 650 nt
Filed under: uncultured bacterium
Lineage: Bacteria
Description: bacterial SSU rRNA
Rfam family: Bacterial small subunit ribosomal RNA
Source: RNAcentral